AAAAUCCACUAGGGGAGCUGCGGAGGCAGCUGAGACAAGUGAUCGCUUGGACCCUUUGAACCUGAUCCGGUUAAUACCGGCGGAGGGAAGUGGAGCAGGCCUAUA
RNAcentral lists this non-coding RNA (105 nucleotides) under Paenibacillus rhizosphaerae. RNAcentral's name for it is "TPP sequence". It matches the Rfam family "TPP riboswitch aptamer (THI element)". From Rfam's summary of the family: Vitamin B(1) in its active form thiamin pyrophosphate (TPP) is an essential coenzyme that is synthesised by coupling of pyrimidine and thiazole moieties in bacteria. The previously detected thiamin-regulatory element, thi box was extended, resulting in a new, highly conserved RNA secondary structure, the THI element, which is widely distributed in eubacteria and also occurs in some archaea. Lineage: Bacteria; Bacillati; Bacillota; Bacilli; Caryophanales; Paenibacillaceae. The record is from Rfam by way of RNAcentral.